This 308-nucleotide ribosomal RNA is filed under the name uncultured bacterium. RNAcentral describes it as "partial 16S ribosomal RNA". It matches the Rfam family "Bacterial small subunit ribosomal RNA", at positions 505 to 807 of the family's 1533-position model. The record is from RNAcentral.
GAGACAGCAGUCGCCGCGGGAAUACGUAGGUGGCAAGCGUUGUCCGGAAUUACUGGGCGUAAAGCGUGCGCAGGCGGUUGUGUAAGACAGGUGUGAAAUCCCCGGGCUUAACCUGGGAACUGCGCUUGUGACUGCACAGCUAGAGUAUGGCAGAGGGGGGUGGAAUUCCACGUGUAGCAGUGAAAUGCGUAGAGAUGUGGAGGAACACCAGUGGCGAAGGCGACUCUCUGGUCUGUAACUGACGCUGAGGAGCGAAAGCGUGGGGAGCGAACAGGAUUAGAUACCCGCGUAGUCCCUGUCUCUUAUAC